UACGGAGGGUGCAAGCGUUGUCCGGAUUUAUUGGGUUUAAAGGGUGCGUAGGCGGCCCGUUAAGUUAGUGGUGAAAGCCUCCAGCUCAACUGGAGAACUGCCAUUGAUACUGACGGGCUUGAGUACAGACGAGGUUGGCGGAAUUGAUUGUGUAGCGGUGAAAUGCAUAGAUACAAUCAAGAACUCCGAUUGCGUAGGCAGCUAACUAGGCUGUAACUGACGCUGAGGCACGAAAGCGUGGGGAGCGAACAGG
Molecule: ribosomal RNA, 253 nt
Filed under: uncultured bacterium
Lineage: Bacteria
Description: partial 16S ribosomal RNA
Rfam family: Bacterial small subunit ribosomal RNA
Source: RNAcentral